Eleginops maclovinus (Patagonian blennie) is the source of this 1114-nucleotide long non-coding RNA. RefSeq lists it as uncharacterized. The record is from RefSeq and is a predicted model, not a curated record. NCBI's taxonomy places the organism in Eukaryota, Metazoa, Chordata, Actinopteri, Perciformes, Eleginopidae. The transcript is spliced from 4 exons.
GGUGGCACAGCCAGAGUCCUUAGAUAAAUCGUCGGAGCCUGUGCUGGCGUCCGAAACCUUCCGGCGCCCCCCGGUGCUUUUCACUGCCUUGGCCGUUUUAGACAUAGUUGAGGAAGAUUUGCCCGCAGGUUUGCUCUUAUCCGCUUUACCGUCCUUUCCAGCGAGACUUCCUACGGGGCUGCGCCGGGAAAUGCGGCUGCCCAGGUGAAUGCCUCCCGGCUUGACGCUAAGAGUCGGGGUCCCAAUCCCUCCGCGGAUCUUGGCUUAGCAGACACCGCCGAAGAGAGUUCCGCGGUUUCAGGCCGAGGGAUUGGCUGCUGCUGCCCCGGCACCGCGUGCUGUGUCUGCCCGCUGUCCGAGCCCUCCGCCCCGCCUCCACUGUCCAUCUUCUGCCGGAGAUGGAGCCUCCGUUCCUUAGCCGAGGCAAAGACGAGAUAAACGUGUAAACAGGGUGAUAGACGCCACACUGUUACCAUGAAGCGUUACACAACCCUGCUGUCAUUCAGGCCUCAGGAAGUCUGGAGGAAGGAAACCCAGCCAUCCAACAUGGGUGUUGCAGUGUCUGAUUUCCAGUCUGCGUUGCUGAGAGGAAGAAAAAGGCAUUAAGAGAAACCCGCUGUCCUUGCAAGUUAUCUUCAGUCCAGUAAUUGGAAAGCAGUGGGUGUGUGUUGCUGGUUAUGAAGACGAGCUGAAUCAGCAAUGCCACUGCCUGCUGACAAGAGGCGACAGAUACAUUCUUUCUAUGUGUGCUUUCCUUUUAGUUAUGUUGCACCUUCUAAACUUUAAGAACUAGGUUCUGCUUGCAAUUUUUUUAAUUUAUAAUGUUGAAUUGGUAUCUUUAACUCGGAAAUACAAUUGAAGGAGGAUGCCAAGCAGGAAUUACCAUAAGAGGAUGAAACAUUACUGUAUGUUAGCUGGAUAUUUUUCUAUUUUUAGAAAUGUUUUAUUAUUAUUCUACCGUUGAAUUAGCCAGGUUAGUUGUUUUAUCUCCUGUUUCCAGUUUUAAUUCUAAUGUUUGUUGACUAAAGGGCAGCAUCAAUCUUUUUUUCUAACUCAUGUCAAGACAUUGAAUAUGCUUAUUUUCCAAAUGUUAUUAAACUCUUCCUUAAAUGUU